UAACUUAAAUAGAUUAUAGAGGUCCCAAGGCACCGUAUGUUGUAAAAUGGCAACGUUUCGCCUUUCACCAUGUUUAUUAAAAUGUAUGCUCAAUAUGUAUGUUCUCUCUCUAAAUAUAAAUGAAUACUUUUCGGAUUUAAACAAAAAUAUAUUUUUAACCCCGCUCAAAUUAUCCGGAUGAUAAUAGUUAUACCGAGCAUGGUUUCGUAGUUAAAUUCAGACUGUAGUACAUCCGGUUUGAAUACAUGUAUACAUGUGUUUUCUUCUGACUUUCCGUUUUCGGAUAGCCAACUCUUUUGAUUUUUGGAACUUAUGACUUAUGGCAAGAGAGAAGAAAACUGCAUGACUUUAAAAGAAAACCAGUGAGAUAAAAUCAUAUAAAAUGUAUGAUGAUUCAGGAUGUGGUCAUUUGAGACCUGUUCUGUGGAUGCCCUUAGACAGUGUGUCUACCCAUCACGCCAUCUGAUAUCACUUGUUCUGAGCAUAUUUCUCUCUCAAACUUAAACUACAGAGAGCCUGUGGAUAGAGGAUGAAGAGUGACCUUGGACUAAUUUUCUAGGUCAAAGAUCAUAGGUGAUGUGAAGGAAAUACCAGGGAACUGAUGUUGAAAGAAGUACUUAAUGACGCUUAUGAAUGGACUUAAAUGUGAAAGACUGUUCCAUUGUUUAUCUAAGAAAUAUGAAUUUAUUUA
Molecule: long non-coding RNA, 691 nt
Organism: Saccostrea cuccullata (small rock oyster)
Lineage: Eukaryota; Metazoa; Mollusca; Bivalvia; Ostreida; Ostreidae
Exons: 4
Source: RefSeq, a predicted model, not a curated record